CCUACGGGAGGCAGCAGUGAGGAAUAUUGGUCAAUGGACGCAAGUCUGAACCAGCCAUGCCGCGUGCAGGAUGACGGCUCUAUGAGUUGUAAACUGCUUUUGUACGAGGGUAAACCCCGAUACGUGUAUCGUGUUGAACGUAUCGUACGAAUAAGGAUCGGCUAACUCCGUGCCAGCAGCCGCGGUAAUACGGAGGCUCCGAGCGUUAUCCGGAUUUAUUGGGUGUAAAGGGUGCGUAGGCGGUUUGAUAAGUUAGAGGUGAAAUGUCGUGGCUCAACCCCGAAACUGCCUCUUAUACUGUUGGACUAGAGAAUAGUUGCGGUAGGCGGAAUGUAUGGUGUAGCGGUGAAAUGCUUAGAGAUCAUACAGAACACCGAUUGCGAAGGCAGCUUACCAAACUAUAUCUGACGUUGAGGCACGAAAGCGUGGGUAGCAAACAGGAUUAGAUACCCGAGUAGUC
Molecule: ribosomal RNA, 460 nt
Filed under: uncultured bacterium
Lineage: Bacteria
Description: partial 16S ribosomal RNA
Rfam family: Bacterial small subunit ribosomal RNA
Source: RNAcentral